UAAAAUGUAAAUAUUAUUGCUUAAUUAUUAAUAGUUAUGGUCUUUAAAAUUAAAAAAUUUGGCGGUAUUUUAGUCUUUUCAGAGGAACCUGUUCUGUAAUUGAUAAUCCACGAUUUAUUAUACUUAAGUUAUUAAUUUGUAUAUCGUUGUAGUUUGAAUAUUUUAAAAGAAUUUUAAUAUUCUAAAUUUUUUAUUAAAAAAGAAAUCAGAUCAAGGUGCAGUUUAUAUUUAAGGAGAAAUGGGUUACAAUAAAUUUAUUUAUAUGGUUAAAAUAUUGAGAUAUGUUUUAUAAAGUGGAUUUGAGAGUAAUUUUAUUUAAAUUUUUAAAAUGAUUUUAGCUCUAAAAUAUGU
This 351-nucleotide ribosomal RNA is filed under the name Pharaxonotha floridana. RNAcentral describes it as "partial 12S ribosomal RNA". The record is from RNAcentral. Lineage: Eukaryota; Metazoa; Arthropoda; Insecta; Coleoptera; Erotylidae.